Myodes glareolus (Bank vole) is the source of this 476-nucleotide long non-coding RNA. RefSeq lists it as uncharacterized. The record is from RefSeq and is a predicted model, not a curated record. Lineage: Eukaryota; Metazoa; Chordata; Mammalia; Rodentia; Cricetidae.
GAGAACCGCUCCUCCAGUUUCCUGACUGAGCCUGCCUCUCCGGGAACUGGACACUUGGGAUCUAUUUUCAAGCUAGAGCAAGCUCCAGUUUAACACUGCAGAGAGUCUGGAUUUUCCCGUCAGCCCUCACAGAAGCGAUCCUUGCGCCAUCUUCUUACCCUUCUGGGACAGAUGCUAUUAAAUCCUGCACGUUAAAAUCUGAAGUCCAAGCAAAACGCUGAUAGAAGCUUUCCAAGACUUCUUGGCUUCCGUGGGAAGGAGCGUUUAAAACACAACCCGCCCCAGCUGUGGGCGGUUUUCCUCUGCUUUCAUUCAGUGUGUUCCUUCAGGUACAAAGGCCAAACCAGGAAACAUUCCAGUGGGAAAUACCGUUGAUUGUCACCUUGUCACUGAAGAGGAUGGAAUCACUAGCUGGAUGGAUAGUAGAUUCUUAUUAUAAAUUGUGUAUCCGAGUAAAGCUGUGCAAAUGGUUUAAA